GGGCGAUGAAGGAGUGACAAGAUUAUGGCGAUCAACAGAUGGCUUAGGGAGUGGUGUUAUAAGGAGGGCUUUGGGAUGUACGGUCACUGGGAAGCGUUUACGGAUAGACGACUGUUCGCUCAGGAUGGACUUCAUCUAAGCAAGGAGGGAAAUAGAAUUCUAGGAUGGAGGCUCGCCGACCUCAUCAAGAGAGCUUUAAACUAGGAAGUUGGGGGAGAUGGUUGGGAGAUGUUCGGGAGAUCUCCACGCCGGAAUAUAACCUGGAGAGGAAAGUAAACAAAGUGAGAGGGGAUACCCUUGCGGUCCCAAGAUUUGAUCCAAGGAGGAAUAGUGGAGUAGAAACCAGAGUAACGGGUGAUGCUGGUGGUAAAAGGUCUCUGCACGACGGGGGAAAGAAUGUCACUGACGCCAAACGCCGAAAAUUAAAAGGUCUGUACACUAAUGCGAGGAGCCUAGGUAACAAGAUGGAGGAACUGGAGUUACUGGUGCAGGAAGUGAAACCGGAUAUUAUAGGGAUAACUGAAACCUGGUGGAAUAGUACUCAUGACUGGAGCACGGGUAUUGAAGGCUAUGUGCUGUUUAGAAAAGACAGGAAGAAAGGCAAAGGUGGUGGAGUAGCCUUGUACAUCAAUGAUGACAUUAACUGUAGCGAAAUAAGAAGCGAUGGAAUGGAUAAGACAGAGUCUGUCUGGGCGAAAAUCACACUGGGUAAAAAAGCAACUAGAGCUUCCCCUGAGAUAGUGCUUGGCGUGUGCUACAGACCGCCGGGAUCUGAUUGGGAUAUGGAUAGAGACCUCUUUAAUGUCUUUAAUGAAGUAAACACAAAGGGGAAAUGUGUGAUUAUGGGGGACUUCAACUUCCCGGAUAUAGACUGGAGGACGAGUACUUGCAAGAAUAAUAGGGGUCAGAUUUUUCUGGAUGUGAUAGCGGAUGGAUUUCUUCAUCAAGUAGUUGAAGUACCUACGAGAGGGGAUGCCAUUUUAGAUUUGGUUUUGGUGAGCAGUGAGGACCUCGUAGAAGAAAUGGUGGUAGGGGACAACCUUGGUUCGAGUGAUCAUGAGCUGAUUCAGUUCAAACUAGAUGGAAGGAUAAACAAAUGUAGAUCUGGGAUUAGGGUUUUCGACUUCUCGAGGGCUAAUUUUAAAGAGUUAAGGAAAUUAGUUAGGGAAGUGGAUUGGACGGAGGAACUUGUGGAUUUAAAUGCGGAGGAGGCCUGGAAUUACUUUAAGUCGCAGCUGCGGAAAUUGUCGGAAGCCUGCAUCCCAAGAAAGGGGAAAAAAACCAUGGGCAGGAGUUGUAGGCCAAGCUGGAUGAGCAAGCAACUCAGAGAGGGGAUUAGGAAAAAGCAGAAAGCUUACAGGGAGUGGAAGAAAGGCGGGAUUAGCAAGGGAAGCUACCUUGGUGAGGUCAGAACAUGUAGGGAUAAAGUGAG
RNAcentral lists this long non-coding RNA (1432 nucleotides) under Gopherus agassizii (Agassiz's desert tortoise). RNAcentral's name for it is "lncRNA (ENSGAGG00000015787.1)". The record is from RNAcentral. Lineage: Eukaryota; Metazoa; Chordata; Testudines; Testudinidae.